Molecule: ribosomal RNA, 513 nt
Filed under: Trichosia sp. 1 nr. borealis SS-2012
Lineage: Eukaryota; Metazoa; Arthropoda; Insecta; Diptera; Sciaridae
Description: partial 16S ribosomal RNA
Source: RNAcentral
GUCUUUUAGUGAUUUAUUAAAAGUCUAACCUGCCCAUUGAUUUUAUUUUUAAAGGCUGCGGUAUUUUGACCGUACAAAGGUAGCAUAAUCAUUAGUUUUUUAAUUGAAAACCUGUAUGAAUGGUUGAAUGAGACAUAAGCUUUUUUUUAAAAAAAAAUUGAAUUUUACUUUUUAAUUAAAAGGUUAAAAUAUAAUUAAAAGACGAGAAGACCCUAUAGAGUUUAAUAUUUUUAUUAAUAUUUAUUUUUAUAAAGAUUAAUAUUUAUUGUAUUAAAAAAAAUAUUUUGUUGGGGUGAUAAUAAAAUUUAUUUAACUUUUAUAUUAUAUAAAUCCAUUAAUAUAUGAAAAAUUGAUCCAUUAUUAAUGAUUAUUAGUUUAAAUUACCUUAGGGAUAACAGCGUAAUUUUUUUUUAAGUUCUUAUUAAUAAAAAAGUUUGCGACCUCGAUGUUGGAUUAAGAUUAAUUUUAGGUGCAGAAGUUUAAAAUUUAAGUCUGUUCGACUUUUAAAUUCUU